This 693-nucleotide ribosomal RNA is filed under the name uncultured bacterium. Its description in RNAcentral is "bacterial LSU rRNA". It matches the Rfam family "Bacterial large subunit ribosomal RNA", at positions 143 to 891 of the family's 2925-position model. The record is from RNAcentral.
ACCAAGUACUUCUUACCUGAAUAAAAUAGGGUUUGAAGAGCAAACCCGGGGAACUGAAACAUCUAAGUACCCGGAGGAAAGGACAUCAAUAGAGACUCCGUUAGUAGCGGCGAGCGAACGCGGACCAGCCGAGCCAUGAUUGUGAUCAGAACACAUUGGAAAAUGUGGCCAGAGUGGGUGACAGCCCCGUAUGAGAAGCAAGAUUGGACGUAUUAAGUAGGGCGGGACACGUGAAAUCCUGUUUGAAGAUCGGAGGACCACCUCCGAAGGCUAAGUACUCCUUACUGACCGAUAGUGAACCAGUACCGUGAGGGAAAGGUGAAAAGCACCCCGACGAGGGGAGUGAAACAGUACCUGAAACCGGACGCCUACAAUCAGUUGGAGGGGCAUAAGCCCUGACAGCGUACCUUUUGUAUAAUGGGUCAUCGACUUGGUCUAUCUAGCAAGCUUAAGCCGUUAGGUGUAGGCGCAGCGAAAGCGAGUCUUAAUAGGGCGCAUGAGUUAGAUGGAUCAGACCCGAAACCGAGUGAUCUAGGCAUGACCAGGAUGAAGAUAAGGUAACACUUAUUGGAGGUCCGAACCCACACCUGUUGAAAAAGGUCGGGAUGAGUUGUGCCUAGGGGUGAAAGGCCAAUCAAACUCGGAGAUAGCUGGUUCUCCGCGAAAUCUAUUUAGGUAGAGCGUCAUCCGAAU